Molecule: small RNA, 735 nt
Filed under: uncultured fungus
Lineage: Eukaryota; Fungi
Description: SSU rRNA
Rfam family: Eukaryotic small subunit ribosomal RNA
Source: RNAcentral
AUCAACUUUCGAUGGUAGGAUAGAGGCCUACCAUGGUGGUAACGGGUAACGGGGUGUUAGGGCACGACACCGGAGAGGGAGCCUGAGAAACGGCUACCACAUCCAAGGAUGGCAGCAGGCGCGCAAAUUACCCAAUCCCGACACGGGGAGGUAGUGACAAUAAAUAACAAUACGGGGUUCUUUCGGAUCUCGUAAUUGGAAUGAGUACAAUUUAAAUCUCUUAACGAGGAACAAUUGGAGGGCAAGUCUGGUGCCAGCAGCCGCGGUAAUUCCAGCUCCAAUAGCGUAUAUUAAAGUUGUUGCAGUUAAAAAGCUCGUAGUUGAAUUUCGGGGUCAGCAGGUUGGUCGUGCCACUGGUAUGUACUGGCUUUGCUGAUUCCUCCUUCUUGUAGAACCGUAAUGCCAUUAAUUUGGUGUUGCGGGGAAACAGGACUGUUACUUUGAAAAAAUUAGAGUGUUUAAAGCAGGCUAACGCUUGAAUACAUUAGCAUGGAAUAAUGAAAUAGGACGAGCGAUCCUAUUUUGUUGGUUUCUAGGAUUGACGUAAUGAUUAAUAGGGAUAGUUGGGGGCAUUAGUAUUCAAUUGUCAGAGGUGAAAUUCUUGGAUUUAUUGAAGACUAACUACUGCGAAAGCAUUUGCCAAGGAUGUUUUCAUUAAUCAAGAACGAAAGUUAGGGGAUCGAAGACGAUCAGAUACCGUCGUAGUCUUAACCAUAAACUAUGCCGACUAGGGAU